RNAcentral lists this small nucleolar RNA (145 nucleotides) under Octodon degus (degu). The record is from RNAcentral. Lineage: Eukaryota; Metazoa; Chordata; Mammalia; Rodentia; Octodontidae.
CACACACAUUCCUGUAGAGUCAAGAUAGAUGACACAAAUUUACCCACAAGUGUAGGUAGUGUGCUACACGAGGGGCAAGGCUUUUGCUAACACUCCACUACUCUGGCCCAGUGGGUGGAGCUUGCUAGUAACCCUUGCUACAGGU